Molecule: ribosomal RNA, 867 nt
Filed under: uncultured bacterium
Lineage: Bacteria
Description: bacterial SSU rRNA
Rfam family: Bacterial small subunit ribosomal RNA
Source: RNAcentral
GNNGUUGAUACUGUCAGUCUGNAGUACAGUAGAGGUGGGCGGAAUUCGUGGUGUAGCGGUGAAAUGCUUAGAUAUCACGAAGAACUCCGAUUGCGAAGGCAGCUCACUGGACUGCAACUGACACUGAUGCUCGAAAGUGUGGGUAUCAAACAGGAUUAGAUACCCUGGUAGUCCACACAGUAAACGAUGAAUACUCGCUGUUUGCGAUAUACAGUAAGCGGCCAAGCGAAAGCAUUAAGUAUUCCACCUGGGGAGUACGCCGGCAACGGUGAAACUCAAAGGAAUUGACGGGGGCCCGCACAAGCGGAGGAACAUGUGGUUUAAUUCGAUGAUACGCGAGGAACCUUACCCGGGCUUAAAUUGCAGUGGAAUGAUGUGGAAACAUGUCAGUGAGCAAUCACCGCUGUGAAGGUGCUGCAUGGUUGUCGUCAGCUCGUGCCGUGAGGUGUCGGCUUAAGUGCCAUAACGAGCGCAACCCUUAUCUUCAGUUACUAACAGGUCAUGCUGAGGACUCUGGAGAGACUGCCGUCGUAAGAUGUGAGGAAGGUGGGGAUGACGUCAAAUCAGCACGGCCCUUACGUCCGGGGCUACACACGUGUUACAAUGGGGGGUACAGAAGGCAGCUAGCGGGUGACCNNNNNNNAAUCCCAAAAUCCUCUCUCAGUUCGGAUCGAAGUCUGCAACCCGACUUCGUGAAGCUGGAUUCGCUAGUAAUCGCGCAUCAGCCACGGCGCGGUGAAUACGUUCCCGGGCCUUGUACACACCGCCCGUCAAGCCAUGGGAGCCGGGGGUACCUGAAGUACGUAACCGCAAGGAUCGUCCUAGGGUAAAACUGGUGACUGGGGCUAAGUCGUAACAAGGUAACCA